UGGGGAAUUUUGGACAAUGGGGGAAACCCUGAUCCAGCCAUCCCGCGUGUGCGAUGAAGGCCUUCGGGUUGUAAAGCACUUUUGGCAGGAAAGAAACGUCAUGGGUUAAUACCCCGUGAAACUGACGGUACCUGCAGAAUAAGCACCGGCUAACUACGUGCCAGCAGCCGCGGUAAUACGUAGGGUGCAAGCGUUAAUCGGAAUUACUGGGCGUAAAGCGUGCGCAGGCGGUUCGGAAAGAAAGAUGUGAAAUCCCAGAGCUCAACUUUGGAAAUGCAUUUUUAACUACCGGGCUAGAGUGUGUCAGAGGGAGGUGGAAUUCCGCGUGUAGCAGUGAAAUGCGUAGAUAUGCGGAGGAACACCGAUGGCGAAGGCAGCCUCCUGGGAUAACACUGACGCUCAUGCAAGAAAGCGUGGGGAGCAAACAGG
Molecule: ribosomal RNA, 429 nt
Filed under: Acidobacteriota bacterium
Lineage: Bacteria; Pseudomonadati; Acidobacteriota
Description: Acidobacteria bacterium partial 16S ribosomal RNA
Rfam family: Bacterial small subunit ribosomal RNA
Source: RNAcentral